GUACUCACUUUGGCAUCAAAUAUACUAACAUUGGAAUGAUACAGGGAAGAUUAGCAUGGCCCCUGCGCAAGGAUGACACACAAAUCUGUGAAGUGUUCCAUAUUAAA
RNAcentral lists this small nuclear RNA (107 nucleotides) under Propithecus coquereli (Coquerel's sifaka). The record is from RNAcentral. Lineage: Eukaryota; Metazoa; Chordata; Mammalia; Primates; Indriidae.